RNAcentral lists this ribosomal RNA (982 nucleotides) under freshwater metagenome. Its description in RNAcentral is "bacterial LSU rRNA". It matches the Rfam family "Bacterial large subunit ribosomal RNA", at positions 1932 to 2925 of the family's 2925-position model. The record is from RNAcentral.
GGCCGUAACUAUAACGGUCCUAAGGUAGCGAAAUUCCUUGUCGGGUAAGUUCCGACCUGCACGAAUGGCGUAACGAUCUCCCCGCUGUCUCUAACGUGGACUCAGCGAAAUUGAACUGUGUGUCAAGAUGCACACUUCCCGCGGUUAGACGGAAAGACCCCAUGCACCUUUACUCUAGCUUUGCACUGGCAUCAGGAUUGUGAUGUGCAGGAUAGGUGGUAGGCAUUGAAGCGGGGACGCCAGUCUUCGUGGAGCCUCCCUUGAGAUACCACCCUUCGCACUCUUGAUGUCUAACCGCGGCCCGUUAUCCGGGUCCGGGACCCUGCAUGGUGGGGAGUUUGACUGGGGCGGUCGCCUCCUAAACAGUAACGGAGGCGCGCGAUGGUUGGCUCAGACCGGUCGGAAAUCGGUCGUUGAGUGCAAUGGCAGAAGCCAGCCUGACUGCAAGUCUGACAAGACGAGCAGAGACGAAAGUCGGUCAUAGUGAUCCGGUGGUCCCAAGUGGGAGGGCCAUCGCUCAACGGAUAAAAGGUACGCUGGGGAUAACAGGCUGAUGAUGCCCAAGAGUCCAUAUCGACGGCAUCGUUUGGCACCUCGAUGUCGGCUCAUCUCAUCCUGGGGCUGGAGCAGGUCCCAAGGGUAUGGCUGUUCGCCAUUUAAAGAGGUACGUGAGCUGGGUUUAGAACGUCGUGAGACAGUUCGGUCCCUAUCUGCCGUGGGUGUAGGAGACUUGAGAAGAGUUGCCCCUAGUACGAGAGGACCGGGGUGAACGAACCACUGGUGGACCAGUUAUCGUGCCAACGGUAGUGCUGGGUAGCUAUGUUCGGACAGGAUAAACGCUGAAGGCAUCUAAGCGUGAAGCCCCCUUCAAAACAAGGUCUCCCUUGAGAGCCGUGGAAGACCACCACGUCGAUAGGCCGGAGGUGUAAGUGCAGCAAUGCAUUCAGCUGACCGGUACUAAUUGCUCGAUAGGCUUGAUUUG